This is a small RNA of 122 nucleotides. It matches the Rfam family "Burkholderia RNA 11". From Rfam's summary of the family: Co-purified with Hfq, expression confirmed by Northern blot. The record is from Rfam.
GCAAUCUAAAACUGGCACGAGCCAAUCCGGUGGUGUUUCGCUCUAUGCUGGGGAUCAGCUGGAUGUGGUUCUUUGGCGCGGUAUUUUUAAGUCAGUUUCCCAGUUUUGCCAAAGAAGUACUG